GAUGAAGAACGCAGCAAAAUGCGAUAAGUAGUGUGAAUUGCAGAAUUCAGUGAAUCAUCGAAUCUUUGAACGCACAUUGCGCCCCUUGGUAUCCCGAGGGGCAUGCCUGUUCGAGCGUCAUUUCACCACUCAAGCCUGGCUUGGUGUUGGGCGACGUCCUCUUUGGGGACGCGCCUCGAAACGCUCGGCGGCGUGGCACCGGCUUUAAGCGUAGCAGAAUCUUUCGCUUUGGAAGUCGGGGCCCCGUCUGCCGGAAGACCUGCUCGCAAGGUUGACCUCGGAUCAGGCAGGGAUACCCGCUGAACUUAAGCAUAUCAAUAAGCGGAGGA
Molecule: unclassified non-coding RNA, 329 nt
Filed under: soil metagenome
Description: partial contains 5.8S ribosomal RNA, internal transcribed spacer 2, and large subunit ribosomal RNA
Rfam family: 5.8S ribosomal RNA (bases 1-120)
Source: RNAcentral